AACAUGUCCAUUCGUGGGGGAUAGCCCGGCGAAAGCCGGAUUAAUACCGCAUACGCCCGAGAGGGGAAAGCCGGGGACCGCAAGGCCUGGCGCGAAUGGGUUGGCCGAUGCCCGAUUAGCUAGUUGGUGAGGUAAUGGCUCACCAAGGCGAUGAUCGGUAGCUGGUCUGAGAGGAUGAUCAGCCACACUGGGACUGAGACACGGCCCAGACUCCUACGGGAGGCAGCAGUGGGGAAUUUUGGACAAUGGGGGCAACCCUGAUCCAGCCAUUCCGCGUGAGU
Molecule: ribosomal RNA, 281 nt
Filed under: uncultured bacterium
Lineage: Bacteria
Description: partial 16S ribosomal RNA
Rfam family: Bacterial small subunit ribosomal RNA
Source: RNAcentral